UGUUGGUUAUGUGUGCCCAAGCAUUGAGGCAGUCAAAGUAGGCAAAUCCGCUUUGAUAAUGCUGGGAUGUGAUGGGGAGCGAAAUUUAGUAGCGAAGUAGCUGAUUUCACACUGUCAAGAAAAGUCUCUAUCGAGGUUAAAGGUACCCGUACCGCAAACCGACACAGGUGGGUGAGGAGAGUAUCCUAAGGCCAGCGAGAGAACUGUUGUUAAGGAACUCGGCAAAAUGACCCCGUAACUUAGGGAUAAGGGGUGCCACCAUCAGGUGGCCGCAGAGAAUAGGCCCAAGCGACUGUUUACCAAAAACAUAGGUUUCUGCUAAGUCGCAAGACGAUGUAUAGGAGCUGACGCCUGCCCGGUGCUGGAAGGUUAAGGGGAUCUGUUAGAGCAAUCGAAGCAGUGAACUUAAGCCCCAGUAAACGGCGGCCGUAACUAUAACGGUCCUAAGGUAGCGAAAUUCCUUGUCGGGUAAGUUCCGACCCGCACGAAAGGCGUAACGAUUUGGGCACUGUCUCAACAACAGACUCGGUGAAAUUGUAAUUCCGGUGAAGAUGCCGGAUACCUGCGACAGGACGGAAAGACCCCAUGGAGCUUUACUGUAGCUUGACAUUGGGUCUUGGUACUACAUGUACAGGAUAGGUGGGAGGCUUUGAAACCAGGACGCCAGUUUUGGCGGAGCCAUCCUUGGGAUACCACCCUUGUAGUACUGGGACUCUAACCAUAGGCCAUGAAUCUGGUCUUGGGACACUGUCAGGUGGGCAGUUUGACUGGGGCGGUCGCCUCCCAAAAGGUAACGGAGGCGCUCAAAGGUUCUCUCAGUACGGUCGGAAAUCGUACGUAGAGUGUAAAGGCAAAAGAGAGCUUGAUUGCAAGACAUACAGGUCGAGCAAGGAUGAAAAUCGGACUUAGUGAUCCGGUGGUUCUGCGUGGAAGGGCCAUCGCUCAACGGAUAAAAGCUACCCUGGGGAUAACAGGCUUAUCUCCCCCAAGAGUCCACAUCGACGGGGAGGUUUGGCACCUCGAUGUCGGCUCAUCACAUCCUGGGGCUGUAGUAGGUCCCAAGGGUUGGGCUGUUCGCCCAUUAAAGUGGUACGCGAGCUGGGUUCAGAACGUCGUGAGACAGUUCGGUCCCUAUCCGUCGCAGGCGUAGGAAAUUUGAGAAGACCUGUCCUUAGUACGAGAGGACCGGGAUGGACG
Molecule: ribosomal RNA, 1197 nt
Filed under: Clostridioides difficile
Lineage: Bacteria; Bacillati; Bacillota; Clostridia; Peptostreptococcales; Peptostreptococcaceae
Description: partial 23S ribosomal RNA
Rfam family: Bacterial large subunit ribosomal RNA
Source: RNAcentral